AAGAGCCGGAUGAGGGAAAUCCUCACGUCCGGUUCUGUGAGGGGGCUCAUGGCAACCUUGGGGCUAAUACCUCAACAAAAGGUAGGCUAUGAGCUCUACUCGAC
Molecule: non-coding RNA, 104 nt
Filed under: Candidatus Methanoperedens nitratireducens
Lineage: Archaea; Methanobacteriati; Methanobacteriota; Methanomicrobia; Methanosarcinales; Candidatus Methanoperedentaceae
Source: RNAcentral